CCUACGGGAGGCAGCAGUGGGGAAUCUUGUGCAAUGGACGAAAGUCUGACACAGCCACGCCGCGUGCGGGAAGAAGGCCUUCGGGUUGUAAACCGCUUUCAGCAGGAACGAAAAUGACGGUACCUGCAGAAGAAGAUGCGGCCAACUACGUGCCAGCAGCCGCGGUGAUACGUAGGCAUCAAGCGUUGUCCGGAUUUAUUGGGCGUAAAGAGCUCGUAGGCGGUUCAGCAAGUCGGGUGUGAAAACUCUGGGCUUAACCCAGAGCCUGCACUCGAAACUGCUGUGACUAGAGUUCGGUAGGGGAGCAGGGAAUUCCUAGUGUAGCGGUGAAAUGCGCAGAUAUUAGGAGGAACACCAAUGGCGAAGGCACUGCUCUGGGCCGAUACUGACGCUGAGGAGCGAGAGCGUGGGUAGCAAACAGGAUUAGAUACCCUGGUAGUCCACGCCGUAAACGAUGGGCACUAGGUGUGGGUCUCUAACCAACGAGAUCUGCGCCGUCGCUAACGCAUUAAGUGCCCCGCCUGGGGAGUACGGUCGCAAGACAAACUCAAAGGAAUUGACGG
RNAcentral lists this ribosomal RNA (563 nucleotides) under uncultured bacterium. RNAcentral's name for it is "bacterial SSU rRNA". It matches the Rfam family "Bacterial small subunit ribosomal RNA", at positions 338 to 916 of the family's 1533-position model. The record is from RNAcentral.